UGCGGUUGUGCGAGUGUGUGUGUGUGUGUGUGUGAACCCCAGUCCCACCCCUAACAUACACCCCCUCCCCAGCUC
RNAcentral lists this microRNA precursor (75 nucleotides) under Myotis lucifugus (little brown bat). Its description in RNAcentral is "miRNA (ENSMLUG00000028452.1)". The record is from RNAcentral. Lineage: Eukaryota; Metazoa; Chordata; Mammalia; Chiroptera; Vespertilionidae.